UGUGUUAAUGAUGACUUUAACUUACCUACAUUGCUUGAUUUUUCUAUGAGAAUUAAUCAGAAUCUGAUAACUCA
Molecule: small nucleolar RNA, 74 nt
Filed under: Octopus bimaculoides (California two-spot octopus)
Lineage: Eukaryota; Metazoa; Mollusca; Cephalopoda; Octopoda; Octopodidae
Description: small nucleolar RNA SNORD34
Rfam family: Small nucleolar RNA SNORD34
About the family: snoRNA U34 is found in intron 5 of the ribosomal protein L13a gene in humans. U34 is a member of the C/D class of snoRNA which contain C (UGAUGA) and D (CUGA) box motifs, and functions in directing site-specific 2'-O-methylation of 25S rRNAs.
Source: RNAcentral